UGAACGCUGGCGGCGUGCCUAAUACAUGCAAGUCGAGCGAACGGACGAGAAGCUUGCUUCUCUGAUGUUAGCGGCGGACGGGUGAGUAACACGUGGAUAACCUACCUAUAUGACUGGGAUAACUUCGGGAAACCGGAGCUAAUACCGGAUAAUAUUUUGAACCGCAUGGUUCAAAAGUGAAAGGCGGUCUUGCUGUCACUUAUAGAUGGAUCCGCGCUGCAUUAGCUAGUUGGUAAGGUAACGGCUUACCAAGGCAACGAUGCAUAGCCGACCUGAGAGGGUGAUCGGCCACACUGGAACUGAGACACGGUCCAGACUCCUACGGGAGGCAGCAGUAGGGAAUCUUCCGCAAUGGGCGAAAGCCUGACGGAGCAACGCCGCGUGAGUGAUGAAGGUCUUCGGAUCGUAAAACUCUGUUAUUAGGGAAGAACAUAUGUGUAAGUAACUGUGCACAUCUUGACGGUACCUAAUCAGAAAGCCACGGCUAACUACGUG
RNAcentral lists this ribosomal RNA (495 nucleotides) under uncultured bacterium. RNAcentral describes it as "partial 16S ribosomal RNA". It matches the Rfam family "Bacterial small subunit ribosomal RNA", at positions 30 to 507 of the family's 1533-position model. The record is from RNAcentral.